UAGCUAUGUAUGGACGGGAUAAGUGCUGAAAGCAUCUAAGCAUGAAGCCCCCCUCAAGAUGAGAUUUCCCAACUUCGGUUAUAAGAUCCCUCAAAGAUGAUGAGGUUAAUAGGUUCGAGGUGGAAGCAUAGCGAUAUGUGGAGCUGACGAAUACUAAUCGAUCGAAGACUUAAUCAA
RNAcentral lists this ribosomal RNA (177 nucleotides) under Staphylococcus ureilyticus. Its description in RNAcentral is "partial 23S ribosomal RNA". It matches the Rfam family "Bacterial large subunit ribosomal RNA", at positions 2746 to 2925 of the family's 2925-position model. RNAcentral also lists the same sequence under 1 other name. Lineage: Bacteria; Bacillati; Bacillota; Bacilli; Caryophanales; Staphylococcaceae. The record is from RNAcentral.